Molecule: ribosomal RNA, 245 nt
Filed under: uncultured Peptostreptococcaceae bacterium
Lineage: Bacteria; Bacillati; Bacillota; Clostridia; Peptostreptococcales; Peptostreptococcaceae
Description: partial 16S ribosomal RNA
Rfam family: Bacterial small subunit ribosomal RNA
Source: RNAcentral
UACGUAGGGGGCAAGCGUUAUCCGGAAUCACUGGGCGUAAAGGGUGCGUAGGCGGCCAAUCAAGCCAGGGGUGAAAGGCUACGGCUUAACCGUAGUAAGCCCUUGGAACUGAAUGGCUUGAGUGCAGGAGAGGAGAGUGGAAUUCCUAGUGUAGCGGUGAAAUGCGUAGAUAUUAGGAGGAACACCAGUGGCGAAGGCGACUCUCUGGACUGUAACUGACGCUGAGGCACGAAAGCGUGGGGAGC